Molecule: ribosomal RNA, 356 nt
Filed under: uncultured bacterium
Lineage: Bacteria
Description: bacterial SSU rRNA
Rfam family: Bacterial small subunit ribosomal RNA
Source: RNAcentral
AGAGUUUGAUCCUGGCUCAGGAUGAACGCUAGCUACAGGCUUAACACAUGCAAGUCGAGGGGAAACGAUAUUGGAAGCCUGCUUCCGAUAGGCGUCGACCGGCGUACGGGUGAGUAACGCGUAUCCAACCUGCCCACCACUUGGGGAUAACCUUGCGAAAGUAAGACUAAUACCCAAUGAUAUCUCUAGAAGACAUCUGAAAGAGAUUAUAGAUUUAUCGGUGAUGGAUGGGGAUGCGUCUGAUUAGCUUGUUGGCGGGGUAACGGCCCACCAAGGCAACGAUCAGUAGGGGUUCUGAGAGGAAGGUCCCCCACAUUGGAACUGAGACACGAUCCAAACUCCUACGGGAGGCAGCA